GACGAACGCUGGCGGCGUGCUUAACACAUGCAAGUCGAACGGAAAGGCCCUGCUUUUGUGGGGUGCUCGAGUGGCGAACGGGUGAGUAACACGUGAGUAACCUGCCCUUGACUUUGGGAUAACUUCAGGAAACUGGGGCUAAUACCGGAUAGGAGCUCCUGCUGCAUGGUGGGGGUUGGAAAGUUUCGGCGGUUGGGGAUGGACUCGCGGCUUAUCAGCUUGUUGGUUGGGUAGUGGCUUACCAAGGCUUUGACGGGUAGCCGGCCUGAGAGGGUGACCGGCCACAUUGGGACUGAGAUACGGACCAGACUCCUACGGGAGGCAGCAGUGGGGAAUAUUGCACAAUGGGCGGAAGCCUGAUGAAGAAACGCCGCGUGCGGGAUGACGGCCUUCGGGUUGUAAACCGCUUUCGCCUGUGACGAAGCGUGAGUGACGGUAAUGGGUAAAGAAGCACCGGCUAACUACGUG
Molecule: ribosomal RNA, 468 nt
Filed under: uncultured bacterium
Lineage: Bacteria
Description: partial 16S ribosomal RNA
Rfam family: Bacterial small subunit ribosomal RNA
Source: RNAcentral